AUUGCACGCUGGCGGCAGGCCUAACACAUGCAAGUCGAGCGGAGCGGCGGAAGAGUGAGUAAUGCAUAGGAAUAUGCCUGGGAGUGGGGGAUCACGUACGGAAACGGGCGCUAAUACCGCAUACUAUCAGAUGAGCCUAGGUCGGAUUAGCUAGGUGGUGGGGUAAAGGCCUACCAAGGCGACGAUCCGUAACUGGUGUGAGAGGAUGAUCAGUCACACGGGAAAUGAGACACGGUCCAGACUCCUACGGGAGGGAGCAGUGGGGAAUAUUGGACAAUGGGCGAAAGCCUGAUCCAGCCAUGCCGCGUGUGUGAAGAAGGUCUUAGGAUUGUAAAGCACUUUAAGUUGGGAGGCGUUACCAACAGAAUAAGCACCGGCUAACUUCGUGCCAGCAGCCGCGGUAAUUC
Molecule: ribosomal RNA, 407 nt
Filed under: uncultured bacterium
Lineage: Bacteria
Description: partial 16S ribosomal RNA
Rfam family: Bacterial small subunit ribosomal RNA
Source: RNAcentral